RNAcentral lists this ribosomal RNA (730 nucleotides) under uncultured bacterium. RNAcentral describes it as "bacterial SSU rRNA". It matches the Rfam family "Bacterial small subunit ribosomal RNA", at positions 771 to 1501 of the family's 1533-position model. The record is from RNAcentral.
AACAGGAUUAGAUACCCUGGUAGUCCACGCCGUAAACGAUGUCGACUUGGAGGUUGUGCCCUUGAGGCGUGGCUUCCGGAGCUAACGCGUUAAGUCGACCGCCUGGGGAGUACGGCCGCAAGGUUAAAACUCAAAUGAAUUGACGGGGGCCCGCACAAGCGGUGGAGCAUGUGGUUUAAUUCGAUGCAACGCGAAGAACCUUACCUACUCUUGACAUCCAGAGAACUUAGCAGAGAUGCUUUGGUGCCUUCGGGAACUCUGAGACAGGUGCUGCAAGGCUGUCGUCAGCUCGUGUUGUGAAAUGUUGGGUUAAGUCCCGCAACGAGCGCAACCCUUAUCCUUUGUUGCCAGCGGUUAGGCCGGGAACUCAAAGGAGACUGCCAGUGAUAAACUGGAGGAAGGUGGGGACGACGUCAAGUCAUCAUGGCCCUUACGAGUAGGGCUACACACGUGCUACAAUGGCGCAUACAAAGAGAAGCGACCUCGCGAGAGCAAGCGGACCUCAUAAAGUGCGUCGUAGUCCGGAUUGGAGUCUGCAACUCGACUCCAUGAAGUCGGAAUCGCUAGUAAUCGUGGAUCAGAAUGCCACGGUGAAUACGUUCCCGGGCCUUGUACACACCGCCCGUCACACCAUGGGAGUGGGUUGCAAAAGAAGUAGGUAGCUUAACCUUCGGGAGGGCGCUUACCACUUUGUGAUUCAUGACUGGGGUGAAGUCGUAACAAGGUAACC